UUCAGAGGUCUCAAGCGUUGUUCGGAUUCAUUGGGCGUAAAGGGUGCGUAGGCGGCGCGGUAAGUCGGGUGUGAAAUCUUGGAGCUUAACUCCGAAACUGCAUUCGAUACUGCCGUGCUUGAGGACUGGAGAGGAGACUGGAAUUUACGGUGUAGCGGUGAAAUGCGUAGAUAUCGUAAGGAAGACCAGUGGCGAAGGCGGGUCUCUGGACAGUUCCUGACGCUGAGGCACGAAGGUCAGGGGAGCAAACGGG
RNAcentral lists this ribosomal RNA (253 nucleotides) under uncultured bacterium. RNAcentral describes it as "partial 16S ribosomal RNA". It matches the Rfam family "Bacterial small subunit ribosomal RNA", at positions 524 to 776 of the family's 1533-position model. The record is from RNAcentral.